GCAAGUCGAGCGCACUCUUUUGAGUGAGCGGCAAACGGGUGAGUAACGCGUGGGAAUCUACCCAUCUCUACGGAAUAACACAGAGAAAUUUGUGCUAAUACCGUAUACGUCCUAUUGGAGAAAGAUUUAUCGGAGAUGGAUGAGCCCGCGUUGGAUUAGCUAGUUGGUGAGGUAACGGCUCACCAAGGCGACGAUCCAUAGCUGGUCUGAGAGGAUGAUCAGCCACACUGGGACUGAGACACGGCCCAGACUCCUACGGGAGGCAGCAGUGGGGAAUAUUGGACAAUGGGGGCAACCCUGAUCCAGCCAUGCCGCGUGAGUGAUGAAG
RNAcentral lists this ribosomal RNA (328 nucleotides) under uncultured Bartonella sp. Its description in RNAcentral is "bacterial SSU rRNA". It matches the Rfam family "Bacterial small subunit ribosomal RNA", at positions 57 to 413 of the family's 1533-position model. The record is from RNAcentral. Lineage: Bacteria; Pseudomonadati; Pseudomonadota; Alphaproteobacteria; Hyphomicrobiales; Bartonellaceae.